Molecule: ribosomal RNA, 376 nt
Filed under: Salmonella enterica subsp. enterica serovar Paratyphi A
Lineage: Bacteria; Pseudomonadati; Pseudomonadota; Gammaproteobacteria; Enterobacterales; Enterobacteriaceae
Also listed under: 1 other name
Description: bacterial SSU rRNA
Rfam family: Bacterial small subunit ribosomal RNA
Source: RNAcentral
UGAAGAGUUUGAUCAUGGCUCAGAUUGAACGCUGGCGGCAGGCCUAACACAUGCAAGUCGAACGGUAACAGGAAGCAGCUUGCUGCUUUGCUGACGAGUGGCGGACGGGUGAGUAAUGUCUGGGAAACUGCCUGAUGGAGGGGGAUAACUACUGGAAACGGUGGCUAAUACCGCAUAACGUCGCAAGACCAAAGAGGGGGACCUUCGGGCCUCUUGCCAUCAGAUGUGCCCAGAUGGGAUUAGCUUGUUGGUGAGGUAACGGCUCACCAAGGCGACGAUCCCUAGCUGGUCUGAGAGGAUGACCAGCCACACUGGAACUGAGACACGGUCCAGACUCCUACGGGAGGCAGCAGUGGGGAAUAUUGCACAAUGGGCG